Molecule: long non-coding RNA, 1217 nt
Filed under: Marmota marmota marmota (Alpine marmot)
Lineage: Eukaryota; Metazoa; Chordata; Mammalia; Rodentia; Sciuridae
Description: lncRNA (ENSMMMG00000013740.1)
Source: RNAcentral
GUCCGACCUGUCUUGUCCUCCUGCCUGAGCGCCUCGGUGGUGUUCAGUGUUUGGGAUGAAUUUCCACUAGCCAUUUGCUUGCAAAUUGAAUGAAAGACACCUUCUGGCCUGUGAAUUUCAGCUCAAGACAGAGUGAUGAAGUACCCACUCCCACUCCACUCAAGCUGCGGGCCCCGCGUCUGCCUUGGACCAGAGCAGGCUGCAGGCCUGGGGCAGAUACAGUGCCAACCUGAUCUGAAGGCUCUGGGCUCCAUGGCCACCAGCACCCACCUUGUCCACGGUCCUGCACCCGGGCCUGGAAAGCCACAACUAGCAGGACCUGUUUCCUGAAGCCCCCCUCGCGCUGCGCUCCCUGCGGGAACCUGGGAGCACUGGCUGGAACGGUGGCCUUCCAAAGCCUCACAGAAGAGGCAGCAACCCCAAACGACCUUGUGAGAACGCUUUCCUGUUUUCUUAAAUACUUCUUGAGAGGGAAGCAGAAGCAGGAAUUUUAAAACACACGUAUUUUCAGAAGAGAAAAGGAUGGAAACAUUAGGCGUUUCAAGUAGUAACAUGCAAAUCACUUUAAAAAUGUCACAGAAAACUAUCCUUUUCAUGCUAAAUAUGAAGUAUUUGGGGAGACACAGCCAGGCUCCUUCCACAAACUUCCUUCUGAGUCACAGCACCCAGAAGACACGUCACGUGACUUCUUUCUCUUCAGCCAAAUGAGAAAAGAGUUUAAAUGAAUGAGUAUUAAGAGCAGUUUAGUUAUUGAAAUGUUCCUUUUCCUUUUCCCAUAGGAAAAAAUAACUGCAACAGGAUUAAUGCUCUUUGGAAACUAAAUGCUAGUCCCAAGAAGGCUGCUUGGGCUGCUGUACCAUGAACACAUGUCUUCUUAAGGUUAAGGGAAACCAUUUUUUGUUGUUGUUUUUUUACUUUUGACUGCUUUUUAUUUAAGAGUCAGCAACAUGCUUACAAUAUCGCCUACUUCCAGAGCAUUUUGGUUAGAUGGGUAUUUAUAAAGGUCCAUUAUGAUCACUGUCUUCAAACUCAUCACACCUUGUGGGGAACAGCCCACUCUGAUCCGGAUUCUCCAGCCCUUCUCCAGCCCGGGGCGCAGGGAAACCUGAGCUGAGGCCGCAAACCCUUCUCCUUUCCCUAAGAAAGAAAAUUUAAAGUCGGACAGCAAAAGCCAAGUAGGGGAACUUUAUUAUGAGUGAUAUGGCAAGGAAGUGAGG